Molecule: long non-coding RNA, 1148 nt
Organism: Capra hircus (goat)
Lineage: Eukaryota; Metazoa; Chordata; Mammalia; Artiodactyla; Bovidae
Source: Ensembl
AAAGCAUAGAAACUUCAGAGGAAGGGGCCCAGCUGCAGGGAUACAGUCAGGAAGUUUUCUUACCCAGAGGAGUGACCUUGUGUCACUGUGGGCCAUGAAUGAAUCUCCUGCUGUGGCUCAGGCUGAGUCCUCUCAUCAGUUACCGUCGCUGGGAAGAGACGCAUGUUCAUUUUCUGGUGGUGCUCCUUACAGAGUGAAUGCCAGCUCCUCCUCAGUCAGAAUGCCAAUUGGCUUUUGAGUGGAUAAUUGUUGCAGUGAGAGCAGUGACAUUGGAAACAACUAUUGCCUGUUUGAAUUACUUAAAGCACCACCAUGAAAAGAAAUACCUGUGAUUUGCUUUCCCGGAGCAAAAGUGCCUCUGAGGAGACACUGCACUCCAGUCAUGAAGAGGAAGACCCUUUGAAAGGAAUGGAACCCUAUCUCGUAAGGAGACUUUCCUGCCGCAACAUCCAGCUUCCCCCUCUCGCCUUCAGACAGUUGGAACAAGCAGACUUGAAGAGUGAAUCAGAGAACCUUCAGAGGCCAACCAGCCUCCCCUUGAAGAUUCUACCCCUGAUUGCUAUCACUUCUGCCGACUCCAGUGGGUGAGUGACCUUGGGUGACAUUGCCCCAUUUUCUAUUUUAAACGAUGAUUGUUAUCUGGGAUCUCUUGAGUUUUGUGGCUCAUUGCUUGAUUUGAGUCAAGGGGAAAUGGGGUUGCUAGAAUCAAGAGAAAAUCUGGUAGUUUUUCUCAGGUAAUUUUGCAGUCUCUAUAACAGGAGACACUUUAGUCAAAUUAUUUUACAUGGAGUAUUUGAAAAAGUAUUGAUGAAUGCAAAUGAGUAUCUGGGGAAAGGAAAUUGGGCUUGGAAAUUAAUACUGGUCACAGGUGAUUAAACAGAAAAAUUUCUUAACAAAUGAGAACUAAUAGACAAAUUAACAUGUAGGCAUACCUAUCUGAGAACAGUAGGCAAUAUUCACUGAUGCAAAAUGAAUUUGGAAUCAAGAAUAGAUUGGACUAUAAUUAGAAUCAAAGGAAAUACACAACCGGUCAUGAGCUAAUAAUUUGGCCUUUGACAUUUUCAGAUCUUGCUUACCAGAAUACUGUUUCAGUUCCUAGCAUAAGGAGUUUUAUUCUGCAUUAAGAUGUAUAGAAGAAUGAGUGAGGC